AACAUCCCACUUGAGCUACUCCCAGAGCCAGACAGCCUCUGCCACUUCGCCUGCUGCUCCUGCCAGAAGAAACCUCGCAUUCACAGAGCUCCAUAGAAAUGGCUCCAAUGUCCAUUAUAACACAUGGGGCUUCGUUAAUAAACCUCCCCAAAUUGACACCUAACUCCUUCCAUCGACGGCCAUUCAAGUACACAUGCUUUCUCAAUGUUCCUCGCAGGCUCUCAUCACCGCACACCGCAAGCAUUUUGGGUUCUCAGUUUUUUAGACCGUCACUUCUCAGGAUCAGAUGCUUUCAGGGAGAAGAUGCUGAAAAUUUUGAAGUUAGUGAAGAAAGUUUGGAUGGACAAAAU
RNAcentral lists this unclassified non-coding RNA (350 nucleotides) under Hevea brasiliensis (rubber tree). The record is from RNAcentral. Lineage: Eukaryota; Viridiplantae; Streptophyta; Magnoliopsida; Malpighiales; Euphorbiaceae.